Molecule: long non-coding RNA, 1765 nt
Organism: Morus notabilis
Lineage: Eukaryota; Viridiplantae; Streptophyta; Magnoliopsida; Rosales; Moraceae
Exons: 3
Source: RefSeq, a predicted model, not a curated record
GCUCUCUCUUUCCCCGUUUCUCUCUCUUCUCUCUCUGUUCUCCCGGUCUUCCUCUAUGCUCUUCAGGGUUUUAAUAUCCUCCUGCGAUUGAAGUUUUGGCAGACUCUCUCUCCGAUCUCUCGGUCAGACAGGGCUGUGGUGGUUAGGGUUUUCUCAUAUCAUCGUGCGAUUGUGGGUCGCCGGUCGGAGCUCAUCAGAUCAAGACUAUCACCUCUUGAAGAUGUGCUUGAUCAUGUCAUUGAAAACCCACUUAAUUCAGCCAACCAAGGAUCGAGGCUUCAAUGGUUUUGGUAGGCGAGCCUGUAUUUUGCAGUUAAGGUGCAGUAGGUAUGUGGUAAGAUCAAGCUAAGUCGAAUGAAAACAAACAGUAAACAAUGAGAAAUCAAGAGAAAAAUAGAGUGUAACAGUUUGUAUUGAUACCGAUUUUUCUCAAGUACCGAUACAACUCGCAUGGAUGUUCGAGAGGUCCAGCUCUCUCCCCUUUUUGUCACUUAACCCAAAAACGACUUGUCCCACACCACCACCCUCACCCCUCAUUUAUUAACCAUAACAGAAAAACACUAAUACCCCUGUACAGAAAACACCCAUAACAUGUGUAAACCCAGCCCAGUGACACUAAGCCCAGCCCACUGACACAUCACCCUGCACUUAGCGCACCUGCUUGGCACGCCUGGCAUAUGUAAACCGAAUUGGGGGCUUAUCAGUAUGAUGAAUUGUUGCAGAGUUCCGAGGCAUUUGCUGAAGACUUGGCUGUUGGAUAUGGUUCUAUGUUUUUCCACUCUAAAUCUGACAGAUUUUACGUGGAUAUGCUGACGGGCUUAGAGAACCGUCUGCGUUUGGAUUUAGAAGUCGGUGGCUCUGUGAAUAAAGCCAUAAAUGAUCUGCACUCCUCUAAAGGAUUUAGAGUUCGAAUAUUCAAGAUCAUUCGCCAUUCAGAGGCGUUUUGCAGACCGUGUUGUCUCCUUGUCUUUUACUAAGAAGGUGUUCAUAUAUACCCUUUCUUGUGGCUAGCUAAUGAUAGUGCUAUAGAUUUUGCUUUGGAAUUCUAGAGGUUGUCCCGUGAUGAGAGACUGGUUCAUUUUGUGUCUUUUACACACCUAUUUGGAGCAAGAAAAAGAAGAGCUCUUGGUGCUUUGAAUGCAAGGGGUGGUGAAGAUAGAGUGAGAUUGGCAGAAGAUGGAGUUAUUGACGAGGCAAGAAAAGCCAUCCAACUUGGAAAAACAACUGAUGUAGUCGUGGAGCCUAUCCAUGUCAAAAGAGGCGGAAAAUGUAGCUCCAUUGGAGAGUUUUUGCGGUUCCUACAUCAUGCCUGUGAUGCCUCCAGGGCACAUAUUUGGCAGAAGUUUCCUGGUAGGCACUUUAGACAGCUAUUGGAGAAGAUCAUGGGAGGUAAUUGAUAAGUCUUUACUCAGGCAAGUGUACAUUAGGAGGAAUAAAGGCUUAGGAAGGGGCGAGGUCUGGUCGGGAUGAAGUUGUUUUCAGCUUACAGUGGGAACUUGUAGUAUUAGUAGUUUACUUACUUAGAACGCUGGUGAGAGGGGAAUGUGUGAGGAAUGUAUAAAAGGGGAGGGGUGAGGAAUAGAAAGGGGGAUCGGGAAUAAUCAGGGAAUUGUACAAAUCUUGGAAACGUUCCAAGAAAUGGGAGGUAGCAGACCCUCAAAGAUCUGCGGGCUGGUGUACAUGUCAUGUUGCUAAUAAAAUUCUUCAAUUGAUUCUUUCUUUUCUUCUCUCGAUUCUUUCCAUUUGCCCCUAUCUAGAUUUUGUC